Molecule: RNA transcript, 6282 nt
Organism: Drosophila subobscura
Lineage: Eukaryota; Metazoa; Arthropoda; Insecta; Diptera; Drosophilidae
Gene name: E3 ubiquitin-protein ligase UBR1-like
Exons: 5
Source: RefSeq, a predicted model, not a curated record
UUCGCGGUCACACUGGCGUGAAAAGCAAAAAUCAAAUUGAAAGCGAAAUUGCACAUUUUAAAAUUGCAGCAGGCUGUUGUGUCCCCGUCGACGUCGGGUUGUCUGCUUUGUGUGUAAAGUGAAAUAAAAGUUUAUUGAAAGUCAUAGUUGAUAGAUUUGUAGCAAACGCAACUUAGUACGCUUUUGAUAAUUAAAUUUUCGAGUAACCACGAUUACGAUAGUGUAACUCUUCAGCACGGCAUAGGUGCCCCUCCGCUAAACCUGAAUUUGAAUUGGUUAAAAUGCAGCCCCAAUAAGCAAACCACGACGACAAACGGUUGCAAUAACGGCGUUAGGUGCGAAGGACAAGCCACCCGCCACCCACGCUUUAAUCACAGCUGAGAGCCAGAAAGAGACAGCAUAGAGAACCAAGAAACUGAAAAGCUCUGAAAGCACGCAUACCAACAACCAAAAGCAUUCAAACUGUAUGCAGUGCCUGCAGGCACAAGUCCCGCACACCAGCGCAACGAGCAUAGAGCAACGAACAUCGAAAACAUCGCAUCGGGCAUUGAGCAUCGGGAGCGAAAUAACACACACACAUACACACUGACACUGGGAGGAAGAAAUGGAUCUUCUUUUCGAUAUGGACGACGUUGUAGGGGGCCCCCCGGACGAGUGCAGUACCCCGCUGAAGGAGUGGCGGCUGAAACUUCAGGCUGGCACACUGACACGCAACGACUUCAUCGAGUUCUUCAAGAAGGAGUCGCCCAAGUACUUUGACUAUCAGAACGAACUAGAUACAGUCAAAUGCAUGUUCAAGGAGGCCCUGGCCAAGGAGGAGAUCAUCGAUGUUCUGGUCGAGUUCAUGCUCGGUGACAACCCAAAAUCAGCGCUGGAGAAGCUGCGCCUCGAGGGCAACACCGCCACAGUUUGCGGCAAGGUCUUCAAAAAUGGAGAGCCCACGUACAGCUGCCGUGAGUGUGGCAUGGAUCCCACCUGUGUGCUGUGCGUGAACUGCUUUAAGCGGUCGGCGCAUCGCUUUCACAAGUACAAAAUGUCCACCUCUGGGGGCGGUGGCUGCUGCGACUGUGGGGACAAUGAGGCAUGGAAGAAGGAUCACUAUUGUCAUCUGCAUUUGGAUAAUCGCAAGAAUCCGCUCGAAUUACAGGGAUGGAAUGAUGAGAGGUUUGUGGAACGUUUCCUACCUGCUCAAAAGUUAACUCUUCCGACAUUGAUUUCUUUAAAGGGCUGUUGCUUUAAUAUUAUUCAUAUGUUAUGUGGUCAUCAUGCUUACUAUGAAGGAGCUGUUUCUGAUAUGAAAACCAUCAUUUUGUCUAUGAGUCAUCCUAAUAAAAAAGAUGAGUUUUUGUUUGAGUACAUAUUAUCAGGAUCGACAUUUCCAGUUGGAACGGAGAAGGAAACCUAUGUUGAGACAGAACUUCAACCUGUUACCACCAAUUAUUUUGCGGAAGAUACAGCUCCUAUUGAAAUAUCUGGUUCAACAGCUAGCAUUCUUGCUGGCGAAGUUGCAACAACAACGAGAUCAGGAGAUAUGGGAGCCAUAAUGCCAGAUCAGAUUACUACAAGAGAGAAUAUCGGUGAAUUUUGGAAUACUCUGUAUGCUAUGACUAGCAAAAUUACGUCUCAAGGAUCUACAGAUUCCUCAAAUGAAAAAACUUUGAUAAGUGUACUGGGAUUUGUGUGUCUUCACACUCUGAAAUUGAUUACCCGAGAGGUUAGAUCUGUCCAAAAUUCAAUGAGUCUCAGAAUGAGUGCUCAAUAUGCUGCCAUCUAUAAAAACACAAGUUUUACUAGAAAAAUUGUUGCUCCUUGUGCCAGUGCUUUGCGAGAUCUAAAGACUGCUUAUCUAAACAAAUCAAUAUCAUUAGAUCUAUUGGGGAUCCUUAUCGGAAGAAACAUGAUUGAAAGAGCUGAACCAAUCCCUGAUGAUAACAUCUUUGGCAUCUUACAUGGUACAUGUCUAUUACAUGUUAGUAUGUAUGGUCUUGCCCCAAUCAAGUAUUUUGAGCAAGCAGCAAAAGCUCUGGGAAUGAAAAAUAGUGAAUUUGCAUCACUAAUUUGUACUUCCUUAGUAAAAAAGAGUAUUAUAGACAUAUCUCAAAUGUUGAUUUACGCAAACAAACCUCAUACUGUCAAAAUUUAUGGAAAAAAUUAUAAUUUGGCCAGUCAGAGCACUUGGCGAUAUGCCCGACUUUACAACGCAAAUUAUUUCAAUCGCUUCAUAACAACCAAAAAUGCAAGGAUUGUAAUUCGUUGUGCUGCUUAUAUAGCAGUGCGUGAAUCAUCAUCCCAAAUAGACCAAAUGAACAUUCUUCAGGGACACACCAACAAAGCUAUAUUCCUCAAAGAGAAAGAAAGAGCUGAAGAACAUGCUAGAAAUCAAAUUUCUCAAAAUGAUGCUCCUCUUACCAAAGAUGCAGAAACCAUAUAUAAACAAAAGGAAACAAUCACCUCUUCAGCAUUCAACAUGAAAGAUUGAAAAAUCAUCAAAAAUAAUCCAUCCAGUAUAAUCAAGAAAAACCAUCCACACAAAAAUCAUCACAUUUAUAUCAAUAAUCAAACAUUUUUUACAUUUUACAACAAGGUAGUAAAGGAUUUGGGGAACAGAUGAAAUGAUGAUUGCACACAGUUAAGAAAAUUGUUUGUUUUCUUUGUUUCCUUUGCGUUUGUUUUCUGGAAAAUGAAAGAAUCGAAGAAACAUUACGAAUAAUGUUUUUUUUUGUCCGCGUAGUAGAGCUAUUUAAUAUUAAUGAAUGGAGGACGAACACUACAUAAUUGUAUGGAAUUAUAAUUUUUUACAUAUGUAUAUUAAAUUAGAAAGAACAACAAACAAAAUAAAGAAAACUGAAUGAAUAAUAAUCAACGAAACAAGCCAACCCUCUGCAUAUGUGCAACGUAGUAGUGCGAAAGUCUCAUAGAUCGUCCACGACUUGCCGAAAACCAAGUCUUUCUAUUAUUAUCUUUCCUUUUGUGUAUCUUCAUUUGUAGCUGACCAAUCCGAAAGGUCAAUUCACUGAGGAUGGCUCCUUCAUCGGCCAGUACGUGCCUGGAAAGCUCCAGCCGCCAGUCAGUCCACAGCCAUUGAACAGCUCCGCCUCGGCGCACCAACAGACGCCGCCACAGACAAGUGCCGCCGCAGCAGCAGCAGCCGGCGGGGGCUCUGGCUUGGCAUCGGGAGCAGGAGCAGUAGGAGCUGGUGCUGGGACUGGGGCUGGAGCCAGCAAUGGAGGAACUGGCUCGACCAACACUGCCGCGGUAGCCACCUACGUCUGAGAGGCGUGCCUGGAGCUGGAUGGGUUCCCUUUGAGUUCUUAAUUUUCUUCAACUGAUUCUACUCCCCAAAACCUUUUUGUAAUUGUAUGUGUAAAACGAAAACUGCUUUAAGUGUCUGCAAAAAACAUAAGAAAACAAAAACUAUAUUAAAAAAAAAAACAAACAAAAGCGAAAACGAGAAAAAAAAACUAAAAAUGUAAUGAGAAGAGUUGGCAAGAAUUUAAAGCAUUUGAUUUUGCUUCCUUUGGCUUAUUUAUAUUUAAUGUGUACUUUAGCAAACAGUUAAUGCCUUUUCCAAACUAAAAAAACAAAGCAAAACAAAACAAUUAUCUUACAUUUUUUGAUAUAUGUAAGCUGCAUAAACACAACUCAAUUAGAAGAACAAACCCAAAUGAAUAUGAACGUUAAUGAAAGGAAAACCAUUCACGGUUGUUGCCUGUUCGGGAACUCCCUUUUAUGUCGAGAAUUUGUUUAGUUGCCAAUGGCGAUUUGUAUGCAUACAUAUGUGUGUGCAAGGAAGAUCCGUGUAUAUCAGCGGACUAUAUGGAAAAUGAGUCAAGUUUUGUAACCAAACCAGAGACAAGGCAACCCGGUAGUUUCGGCUGGCAGAGACAGAGACAAAGAUCAAUGAUUGACUGAUGUGUGGAGCCCAUUGCCAAUGCUAUAUGUGGAUCCAUUGACACCUGUCGGCUGUCUACCCAUUUGCCUUGUUCAAAUUCUACUAUUUUGCAAUAAUUUGUACUGAACCGAAACUUAUGUACUAUGGCCAACAGCAUUGAUGUGUUCAGCAAGUCAAUUUACCAACCUAAGUACGGACUAUGGUUACUUACGAACAACAAAAAGACUUCGAGGCAGAGAGCAGCCACGCUGGCAGUAUUGGAAGCUGCCACCAGCUGCGAUUUGUGGCUGCUACUUUGGUCUCCAUCACAUGCUAGAAUUUCAGUCCAAAGAAGAGAGAGACAUUAAUUUCGUCGGCAAUUUGAAUAUCGUAUAAGUUUCUGAUUUUCGUCCAUAGUGUAAUGACAAAUUGUGUGUAAUAUUGAAACGAAACGAAACGAAAACCUUUCAUCAUUUGUCCAUUAAUUAUUUAAGUAAAGCAAUUAGUUAAUUAACAAAUUAGUUGACUGACUCUGUGCUCCCGAUUAGUCAGUUGUAUGUAUGAAUACCUACUUAUGAGUGCAUGAUGCAAUGGAAAACGGAAUAUCGACGUGCUCCCCAAUAUGUUUUAUGUUGAUAAUCCCACUGUAAUUACCGAUUUGCAUCACUGGUAAACAGAAACACACCAAAUCCAGAUCUGUAAUAAUAUUGAUACUUCUUUUUUUUUUGAAACUAAACACACACAAAGUGGCAUUAGAAUCUAAAUGGAAAAGAGAGAAAGCAAACACAAUAAAACACAACAACAUCAACAAUUUUUUGUUCUCCUUUUAAUACAUUUUGAAUUAAUUUAAAUCUCAGUUUACAUUGAAAUUUGUAAGAACACAACACAUACGACUACAUUUGUAUGUACAUCCAUAUGUAUUUUGUAGUGCACAAACCAGCCUGUGCAUUGACUUACAUACAUACAUACAUAGUACAUUCAUACAUUCAGUACAUAGUAAAUUCUUGUCUGCCAUUUAUGUGCAUAUAUGUAUUUUGACUGGAUUGCCUACUUCAGUUACAUACAUACAUACAUACAGCUCGCUAUGUACAUUAGGUGGAUAUGUGUAAGCAUUUUUAUUUGGUCUUUAAUAAACAUACAGGGUUGCUUAGUAAAAUUUUUGCACUAGAUUUAAACAAAUGAAUAACGAUAAAGAAGAGAAAGCAUAGGAAUGGAAUGGAAUGGAAUGGCAUAGAAUGAAAAUUGGCAUUGAGGAAAGUAAGUGAGUUUGAGAAUUACGAGUACAUACUCGUACAUGAAAUACAUACAUAAAAUGCAUAGAUAUGUGUAGUUUGAUUAAUCGUACAUAUUUCGUGCACCGCGUUCUGUUUGCUGUUACUUCAAUUAGCUAUCUAAUGAACUACCAAUGCAAUCGUAUAACCCCAGCUUGAGCAUAGUUUUCAACCGAAUACUCCAUUCUUAGCCUGCCCCACGUGGGCAAACACAGUGAGACCAAUAAACUAGCUUCCGCCUCCCCCCCAAUGAACCACAAACAGAAACUGGGGGACGGAAGACACGAUUCCCACUAUUCAUUCACCUGCACCACGCAUAUCCCAACGAUUCAGGUAGACGACGAUCGAUAUCGGUUCUCUGAAGCAAAGUAGGGGACUAAAGCAGAGACAGAGACAUAGAGAGAGAGAGAGAGAGAGGUGUGGGAACCUGGCUCGUUACAUGCUGCACUUUCUCUAGUUACACCGUUGCAGCCGAAAAAGCUCACACACAAACACACACACACACAUACAUCUACACCCACGCUGACAAACUACAAGGAGCGAGCUGUGGAAGAGCGCUAAGUAAUAAAAAUACAUACAUACAAACAAAUAUGCCAUAUACACACACGUACAUACAUACAUACAUAUGUAUACAUAUUUAUAUAUAUAUGGAUAUAUGAAUAUAUGAAUAUAUAUUUACAUGUUUAGAGGACAACGAUCUAAAUCUAAUGUUCAUUACAAAGCGAUAUAUACAUACAUACAUAUAUAUAUAUACAAUAUAUAGAGAGAUGUAUAAGAUUUUGCAUAGAUAUUGUGAUUUCCCAAAUGACUCAAAACUCAAAAAAUAGUCAAUAGCAAAAGUCAAAAGUCAAAACCAAGAAAAAAUAUUUCCUCUUGUUUCGAGAUAAAGUGUUCAUCGGUGGAAUGCGAACCGAAUCACCCCUCUAUUCCCACCACGGGGUUAAGGAGGGGUGCGAGCCAUACACACCAAAAACUGCACUGCCUGUGUCGGGUUCUAUUUUACAUUACAUUUACAAUUGCAUUUGCAUUUACAUAGUCGCGUACAUACGAAUGAUGCAUGUAUGCUGCUGCAAGAACGAUUUUUUGUACCACUUAAAAUAGAAGGUCAUUUGCACAAUACUGUGAUUCCUAACAAGAAAA